GCUAUCGUAGCUCAGUUGGUAGAGCAGUUGCCUCGUAAGCAUCAGGUUGUGGGUUCAAAUCCCACCGAUAGCCCCA
RNAcentral lists this transfer RNA (76 nucleotides) under Caudoviricetes sp. RNAcentral describes it as "tRNA-Thr". It matches the Rfam family "tRNA". Rfam says of the family: Transfer RNA (tRNA) molecules are approximately 80 nucleotides in length. Their secondary structure includes four short double-helical elements and three loops (D, anti-codon, and T loops). Lineage: Duplodnaviria; Heunggongvirae; Uroviricota; Caudoviricetes. The record is from RNAcentral.